AGAGUUUGAUCCUGGCUCAGGACGAACGCUGGCGGCGCGCCUAACACAUGCAAGUCGAACGAGAGAGAGGAAGCUUGCUUCCUUGAUCGAGUGGCGAACGGGUGAGUAACGCGUGAGGAACCUGCCUCAAAGAGGGGGACAACAGUUGGAAACGACUGCUAAUACCGCAUAAGCCCACGACCCGGCAUCGGGAAGAGGGAAAAGGAGCAAUCCGCUUUGAGAUGGCCUCGCGUCCGAUUAGCUAGUUGGUGAGGUAACGGCCCACCAAGGCGACGAUCGGUAGCCGGACUGAGAGGUUGAACGGCCACAUUGGGACUGAGACACGGCCCAGACUCCUACGGGAGGCAGCAGUGGGGAAUAUUGCACAAUGGGGGAAACCCUGAUGCAGCGACGCCGCGUGGAGGAAGAAGGUCUUCGGAUUGUAAACUCCUGUUGUUGAGGAAGAUAAUGACGGUACUCAACAAGGAAGUGACGGCUAACUACGUGCCAGCAGCCGCGGUAAAACGUAGGUCACAAGCGUUGUCCGGAAUUACUGGGUGUAAAGGGAGCGCAGGCGGGCGAUCAAGUUGGAAGUGAAAUCCAUGGGCUCAACCCAUGAACUGCUUUCAAAACUGGUCGUCUUGAGUAGUGCAGAGGUAGGCGGAAUUCCCGGGGUAACGGUGGAAUGCGUAAAUAUCGGGAGGAACACCAGUGGCGAAAGCGGGCUACUGGGCACCACUUGACCCUAAGCUCCGAAAGUGUGGUAGCAAACAGAAUUAGAAACCCGGUAGUCCCCACGUAAAACGAUAAUACUAAGGGUUUGGGAAAUGACCUUCCCGGGGCCCAGUUAAACCAAUAGUAAUCCCCCUGGGAAGUCCACCCGCAGGUUUGAACCUAAAGGAUUUGACGGGGGCCCCCCAACCAGGGGAAAUAUUGGU
RNAcentral lists this ribosomal RNA (917 nucleotides) under human gut metagenome. Its description in RNAcentral is "bacterial SSU rRNA". It matches the Rfam family "Bacterial small subunit ribosomal RNA", at positions 8 to 945 of the family's 1533-position model. The record is from RNAcentral.